Molecule: ribosomal RNA, 253 nt
Filed under: uncultured bacterium
Lineage: Bacteria
Description: partial 16S ribosomal RNA
Rfam family: Bacterial small subunit ribosomal RNA
Source: RNAcentral
UACGUAGGGGGCUAGCGUUGUCCGGAAUCAUUGGGCGUAAAGAGCGCGUAGGCGGCCAGAUAAGUCCGGUGUGAAAGUCAAAGGCUCAACCUUUGAAUGCCGCUGGAAACUGUCUGGCUAGAGUCCGGGAGGGGCGAGUGGAAUUCCUGGUGUAGCGGUGAAAUGCGCAGAUAUCAGGAGGAAUACCGGUGGCGAAGGCGGCAUCCUGGACCGGCAUUGACGCUGAGGAGCGAAAGCUAGGGGAGCAAACGGG